Molecule: long non-coding RNA, 921 nt
Organism: Chinchilla lanigera (long-tailed chinchilla)
Lineage: Eukaryota; Metazoa; Chordata; Mammalia; Rodentia; Chinchillidae
Exons: 3
Source: RefSeq, a predicted model, not a curated record
GCCUGACACUUCCCAAUUUCCACAGCUUGGCACCGUUUCACCCUCAAGAUGACCACUUCCCAUUUGAUUAAUAUCUUCAGAGUUGUUUUCUUGUUCUGACCCUUAAGCAUUUUUCAGUGUGAUUUACUGUUGUGAGUAAAAACUUCAAUAUUACACCAAGUUUUUCCAACGUGCUCUUGGCUCAGUUGUGUUCCCAUAUCCCCUUGACCAGACUGCCCUAAUAACUGGAUUAUGGUAAUGCAAAGCCCGGGAUAGUCACUAAAAGUUCUCACUUCCUGGGGUUGGUUGAAGCAUUUGGUCUGAAAUUCAUCCCAUUAUCCUUAGAGAAAAAUCAGAUAAUAUAUUUGAGAAAAAACAAGGCAUUUUUAUUACGGGCUGUGUCAGGCUUUUGGCUGCAGUUUUGAUUAUUGUCCCUUAACAACUGCAAGAGAUGAAGAACAGAACCAAGAAUGGAAAAAGUCACACUCUGAAGUAUGAGUGCCCUAGAAGUGAAAACAAGCAAGCCAGUUACGUCAACAUAAUUCUGAAGAUUUUCAAGUGUAUACAGUAAAAGAAUGAAGGAGGGUAUAACAGGUUCAUAACAGGAAUGGAAGCAUUUCCACAAGCAGAUGGCCAGACUCAAAAUAUUUCCCAAUGUGGAAUACUGGAUUUUGGUGGAGUAUGAUUUCAUGUUAAGCUUAAAGACUGUAGUAAAGAUUGCACUAGGGACAGUUACCUGCCAGCAAGUAACCAUUGCCUCCAGUCUGACCUGAAUUCACAGAGGCUAUAGUCACCUGACAACUUAAUCAAUGAACCCCUUUGGCUUCAAGGUUGCAGGGGCCAAGAGCUCCAUCAAAGAAGCCUAUGUGCUUUCAGCAACUCAGAAGAUUCCAGUUGUUUUCAGCAGGCCUGAGAGCUUAAAAUAAACAAAUAAGAAAAUGC